CCCUGGGCCCUGGACAGGAUUGUUGUUUCACUUUCAGCCCCACACAUGCUUUGGGUUUAGAAGCUGAAGAGGACAUCCAUAACUGGAAUACUUUCUACAAGCCAUGCAGUCAGGACCUAGGAACAAGAUCAAGAUAAAGGACUUGGACCAAGAACCAGACCAAAUUAUUAGAACCAGGAUCAAGACUAAGACUGAUGACCAAGCAUCAGGACCAAGAAUCAGAACUGAGGACCAGGACCAAUGACCAAGGAUCAGAACUGAGGAACAACUGGGGACCAAGGAUCAGAACUGAGGACCAAGGAUCAGAAAUGAGGACCAAGGAUCAGACCGAAAGACCAAAACCAGGAUCAAGACUAGGACUCUUGACCAAGGAUCAUGACCAAAUACCAGGAUCAAGACCAGGACCGAUGACCAAGGACCAGGAUCAAUACCAGGACCAAGGAUCAGAACUUAGGACCUGGGAUUGGGAUCAAGGACCAGGACAUAGGAUCAGAACAGAGGACCAGGAUCAAGACCAGGACCAAGGAUCAGAACUGAACACCAAGAAACGGGACCAAGGAUCCAGAACCAGGACAGAGGAUUAGUACCUAGGAUCAGAACAGAGGACCAGGAUCAGGACCAGUACUGACAAUCAGGACAAAGUACCAGAGAAUGCAGAGGAGAUUGCUCAGGGAGACAAGCUAACUGAAGAUCAGCGAUAUGGCCAAGAAGGUCUGACUCAGCAGUACCAACCUCAGCGGGACCAAACCACUUAAAGAAGUGCAAGAUUGGGAUUCAGUAGCCCCUCUGCCACAUGGAAGACACCCAGCCUCAAGAGAAACACUGAGCAAACACCAAGAAGAGCACCGGCAGGAUGAUACCUCAUAGUAUUGGUUGGAAAUAUUGUCAUGUGAUAUGUAUUAUUAUAUUCAUUUACAGAGAGAGAGGUAAGGAGAGCACCUUGGGUUUAAGAGUUUGCUCUCAAAAGUUGUACAAGACCUAAAGAGAUAAAAGUCAUGAAACAUCACACUGCAAGCUUUUCACUUCUGAAAUUUAUCGCAAAUGUGUUUUUCAGGAGUUAAGAUGCCUGCACACCAAAUACUGUUUGCGUCUUCUGUUCAAAAGAGAUUGUUCACUCCAUUUCAAAAGAGGUUGUUUACACCAAUCAUUUGGUAUAAGGGACAUAUGUCUGGGAAGCAAAAUGAUUACCCAAACGGUUAUUAUGCACUCGUACUGUGAGUGAUGUUGAUACCUAUGGGGACAUGGAAUACACAGACUGUAUUUGGUAUACAGGGUGUCUAUACAUCAAUAGUCACAACAGUACAACUUUAUUCAGGAUUUGUAAACAAACCUGUGAUUAUAAAAAAAUAUAUUAGAUAUUCCCCUUGGGUGGUAUUCUGAAAUCCAUUUUAUCUCGGAUAUGAUAGAAUUUGUUAUCUCCGUUAAAAUCAGUGAGAUAAAGUACAUCAAAAAUCUCUCCGAAUUGGUAUUCUGAGAACAAUUUUGUCUUCAUGUUAUCUCUGUAGGACACACCUAUUUUUUAAUCAAUAACCAAUGAAAAACGUGCUUUUAUAGCUCUUUCAUCUCACCAAACCAAUGGAAAUCCAUUCCACCUGAAGGUGUGAGAUUGUGUCAAUUUAUUGACUUCAAAUAUGCUUGCGCGUCUUUAAAGAAAUUUCCUUUUAAAAAGUUGACAAUACUCAUGUUUUUUUCAAAGUCUAUAUCCUAUCCUUUCAAGCAUCAUUUCA
Long non-coding RNA from Lytechinus variegatus (green sea urchin), 1727 nucleotides. RefSeq lists it as uncharacterized. The transcript is spliced from 4 exons. The record is from RefSeq and is a predicted model, not a curated record. Lineage: Eukaryota; Metazoa; Echinodermata; Echinoidea; Temnopleuroida; Toxopneustidae.